GACGAACGCUGGCGGCGUGCCUAAUACAUGCAAGUUGAGCGCUGAAGGUUGGUACUUGUACCAACUGGAUGAGCAGCGAACGGGUGAGUAACGCGUGGGGCAUCUGCCUUUGAGCGGGGGACAACAUUUGGAAACGAAUGCUAAUACCGCAUAAAAACUUUAAACACAAGUUUUAAGUUUGAAAGAUGCAAUUGCAUCACUCAAAGAUGAUCCCGCGUUGUAUUAGCUAGUUGGUGAGGUAAAGGCGCACCAAGGCGAUGAUACAUAGCCGACCUGAGAGGGUGGUCGGCCACAAUGGGAGUGGGACAGGGCCCAAACUCCUACGGGAAGGGGCAAGAGGGAAACUUCGGCAAUGGGCGAAAGGCAGACCGAGCAACGCCGCGUGAGUGAAGAAGGUUGUCGGAUCGUAAAACUCGGUUGGUAGAGAAGAAAGUUGGUGAGAGUGGAAAGCUCAUCAAGUGACGGUAACUACCCAGAAAGGGACGGCUAACUACGUG
RNAcentral lists this ribosomal RNA (497 nucleotides) under uncultured bacterium. RNAcentral's name for it is "partial 16S ribosomal RNA". It matches the Rfam family "Bacterial small subunit ribosomal RNA", at positions 28 to 507 of the family's 1533-position model. The record is from RNAcentral.